AUCAGCAUCAGAGCAGCAGCACAGGUUCAGCCAACAGGAUGCUCCUUCUACACCUGCUGCUCCUCUGCGUGUUUCCCCGUUGAACACACUCUAAAGGAGGUUGCUUUAUUUAUCACCAGAGACUCUGGAAUUCUGCAUUAACAGGAUGUGUGGUAUGGAUGUAGACCUGGAUGAUGGAGGCUCAGCUGAUGAGGAGAAAGAGGAGGAGUUCCUGUUUGGGGAGGGAGUGAAGAUGAUGCCCCCUCCUAUAGCCCACAGUGCAGGCAGUGCCUGGGGGAGCCGCAGGGGCAGGUGUGGCUGUGUGGUCCACGGGGCAGGGCUUGUGGCGUGGAACCUGUGCGUGGUCCUGGUCAGCAUGUUGCUCCUGGCUGUGGUGUUUGCUGUGGUCCUGCUGCCUGCAGUGUUGCUGCUGUACGCUGGCUUCCUCUGCCACUCCAGGGUGCUGAAUGCCUCCUCUGCCAUCUGCCAUUACCUGGAUGACAACAGCUGUUCAGCCCUCAUCAUUCUUGGCUUUGUGAUGAUGUCUCCUCUCGUCGUUGUGGCAGCAGCCAUUUUCUGUGGCCUGCUGCGAAGGUUUCGACUGCUGCUCUAUAUUCAACCUAUCAGCCGGGCCUGGUACCAGGGAAGGCUGCUGGACUGGGCUGGAAAGGUUAAUGCCUGGGUCUGAUUGAUACGCUGGAGGAGGCGCUGAGGGAAAAAGAAAAGCCAAACCCCAAACAUAAAGAGGGUCGUAAAUGAUUCAUCGUGGUGCCAUCACUUCUGCUUUUGUUUAGGUGUUUGACACCGUGUGGGAAAUGUAUUACGUUGGUGUCUUGUUGUUACCAGAUCAGCAUUACUCCACUUCAUCUGAGAUUAGUGCAUCAGUUUAGACUCAUCGGUAAAAGAGGAGGAGAAGCAGUGACCUUAAUCUUAAUUAAUUCAUCUUCUCUACGUUUGUUGGCUCUUUUCGUCAAUAAUUCAAGUCUUGUAGAACGUGGUUCCUGCAGUGUUGUCAGUGCUAAUUGUGUGAAUCUCAUUUGCAUUGGAAGAGUGUUUUGCAUUCUUCAAACAAUCUUCUACAAUUCAUGGAAAAGUAUCAAUCCAACUACAAAAGCGCACCAACCUGACCUGUUCUGGCACUUGUUAGAUUUAGUAUUAAAAUAGAUUUAAGACAGAAACAAUUUGGUUGCUCUUAGUUGUCUUUUCAAAUGUGCAUUUUUUGUGUAUGUGAUUCUUUGAUUCAAUGGGUUGACUUUCAAGAAGCCUAAACAGAUCAUAUACAGGUUGCAUAUGGGCAAAAAAGAAUAGAAUUGGAGGCAGCAUUCGCCUAAAAAUGACUGCCAUCGUGCAACAUAAGCCUGAGAAACUUGCAAUAUUCUGCUAAAAAAAAUUUAUGUAUUUAUGCAGCACUCAUAUGUGUGCGUAUAGACGUGGUUGAGACCUCCCUAUUUAAAUGAUCUCUGCGUAUGUGUUUGCACCUGCCUGUGGGUCGUACUAUUUUCCGGUGCUAAAACAAUCACCGCAAACAGUUCCAGAUUAGUUGAAUUAGAUUGCGCCCACUGCAUUAAUUUAUUUGCAUUUCCUCCUCCCAUUUUUUUGCGCCCCUUAUGAGAUCCCCCUACUUAACGUAUUAAUCAGAGGGAAACAUGCUAAAUAGAUUGUGGGCGCAUUUUUAUCCCUUAUUAGUGCGUGGAGUGACGUUUGCACACGUUUUAAUACCCCUAAACUUUUAGUGAAUCUGCCCCUGAGUUUCCCCAGCAGUUGGGAAGCAGUUAUUCACCUUGGAACAAAAUGUGGAACAAUUACUUGCACACAUACCAUUAAGAACAGUCCUAUUAAACGACGCAGGCUGUGACAUGAAUUUCUCUUUAUUUAGGUGGAGCCAGUUGUUAUAGAAGGAUUUUAAUCUUUAGAUCAGAGGCUCAGUCUGCAGCAUUCAGUCAUUUAAAUUCAACAGUGAAUCACUGGCGAGUUAUCUCUGUCUGUCCUUGGUGUUUAAAUGUUCAGCAUUAGGCUUUAAUGUUUCUGACUAAAGAGCUGUCAGUUUUACAGAAGGUCUUUUUUUUAAUCACCUGGAGGAAACAAAAUAUAUUCUAAAAUAUGUAUUCGUGCAGGUCUGCCAUCCAUCUGUAUGAAAAUAGCUUUUUUGGGAAAGAGGAUAAACAUUAUUAAUGGCUGAUAAUAAGAAGUUUUUUGUUCAGCUGUGUCAGUCACAGAUGAAUAACAUUUCAAUGUGUGUCUGAUGUGACCCUCGAUAAGUGAAUAAAAUUCCUUUUUUUUUUGCUUAGUGUGUGGGU
Molecule: long non-coding RNA, 2276 nt
Filed under: Gouania willdenowi (blunt-snouted clingfish)
Lineage: Eukaryota; Metazoa; Chordata; Actinopteri; Blenniiformes; Gobiesocidae
Description: lncRNA (ENSGWIG00000005952.1)
Source: RNAcentral